UACCACAGGGAUAACUGGCUUGUGGC
RNAcentral lists this non-coding RNA (26 nucleotides) under Arabidopsis thaliana (thale cress). The record is from RNAcentral. Lineage: Eukaryota; Viridiplantae; Streptophyta; Magnoliopsida; Brassicales; Brassicaceae. RNAcentral also lists the same sequence under 6 other names.